UAUUGUCACCUCACCCCUGUGACAGCUGC
Molecule: non-coding RNA, 29 nt
Filed under: Mus musculus (house mouse)
Lineage: Eukaryota; Metazoa; Chordata; Mammalia; Rodentia; Muridae
Source: RNAcentral